Molecule: small RNA, 125 nt
Filed under: Marmota monax (woodchuck)
Lineage: Eukaryota; Metazoa; Chordata; Mammalia; Rodentia; Sciuridae
Source: RNAcentral
GCCAGGUGCGGUGGUGCAUGCCUGUAAUUCCAGGGGCUCUGGAGGCUGAGGCAGGAGGAUUUGGGGUUCAAAGCCAGCCUCAGCAAAAGCAUGACACUAAGAAACUCAGUGAGACCCUGUCUCUA